Molecule: ribosomal RNA, 253 nt
Filed under: uncultured bacterium
Lineage: Bacteria
Description: partial 16S ribosomal RNA
Rfam family: Bacterial small subunit ribosomal RNA
Source: RNAcentral
UACGGAGGGUGCAAGCGUUAUCCGGAUUCACUGGGUUUAAAGGGUGCGUAGGUGGCUUUGUAAGUCAGUGGUGAAAGCCCGGAGCUUAACUCCGGAACUGCCAUUGAUACUGCUUAGCUUGAAUCAACUUGAGGUGGAUGGAAUAUUACAUGUAGCGGUGAAAUGCUUAGAUAUGUAAUAGAACACCGAUUGCGAAGGCAGUUCACUAAGGUUGUAUUGACACUGAGGCACGAAAGCGUGGGGAUCAAACAGG